RNAcentral lists this ribosomal RNA (345 nucleotides) under uncultured bacterium. Its description in RNAcentral is "bacterial SSU rRNA". It matches the Rfam family "Bacterial small subunit ribosomal RNA", at positions 18 to 344 of the family's 1533-position model. The record is from RNAcentral.
CAUGGCUCAGGACGAACGCUGGCGGCGUGCUUAACACAUGCAAGUCGAACGGAGCGAAUGAAAGCUUGCUUUUAUGAGCUUAGUGGCAAACGGGUGAGUAACACGUAGGCAACCUGCCGACAGGAUGGGGACAACAUUCCGAAAGGAAUGCUAAUACCGAAUGAAGCGGAGGAGAGGCAUCUCCCCUCCGUGAAAGAUGGCCUCUUUUUAUGCUAUCACCUGUCGAUGGGCCUGCGUCUGAUUAGCUGGUAGGUGAGGUAACGGCUCACCUAGGCGACGAUCAGUAGCCGGUCUGAGAGGAUGAACGGCCACAUUGGGACUGAGACACGGCCCAGACUCCUACGG